GCUGAGGACGACAUGACCAGCCACUACGUGAACUGAAGAACACAGUUCCAGAGUCUCCGACGGAGGCAGCACAGGGGAGAUAUGCACCAAUUGGGCGCAAGCUGACGAGCAGGCCAUGCACGCGUGUGGUGAAGAAGGCCUCCGGGUGUAAAGCACUUUCCAGCCAGAAGGAAGUGGUGAGCUAAAUACGGUUCAUCAAUUGACCGUACUCGCAGAAGAAGCACCGCAUAACUCCCGUCCCAGCAGACGCGGUAAUACGGAGGGUGCAAGCCUUAAUCGGAACUACUGGCCAUCAGAAGCGCACACAGGCGAUUAGCUAAGUCAGAUGGGGAAAUCCCCGGGCUCAACCUAGGAACUGCACUUGAAACUCCCAAGCUAGAGGCUCGUAGAGAGGGGUAGAAUUCCAGCCACAGCGGUGAAAUGAGUACACGAUCCAGACGAAUACCGGUGGCGAAGGCAGCACCCUGGACGAAGACUGACGCUCAGGUGCGAAAGCGUGGGGAGCAAACAGGACUAGAUACCCUGGCAGUCCACGCCGUAAACGAUGUCGAUUUGGAAGUUGUGCCCUUAAGGCGUGGCUUCCGGAGCUAAAGCACUAAAUCGACCGCCUGAGGAGGACAGCCGCAAGGUUAAAACUCAAAUGAAUUGACGGGGGCCCGCAUCAAGCGGUGGAGCAUGUGGUUUAACUCGAUGCAACGCGAAGAACCUUACCUACGCUUAACAUCCAGAGAACUUGCCAGAGAUGCAUUGGUGCCUGCGGGAACUCUAAGACAGGUGCUGCAUGGCAGUCGUCAGAUCGUGUUGUGAAAUACUGGGUUAAGUCCCGCAACGAGCGCAACCCAGACCCUUUGUUAAGCCAGAGGUGAAAUCGCCCGGGAACUCAACCAGGAAACUGCCAGUGAUAAACUGGAGCAAGGUGGGGAUGACGUCAAGUCAUCAUGGCCCUUACGAGUAGGGCUACACACGUGCUACAAUGGCGUAUACAAAGAGAAGCGAAAUCGCGAGAGCAAGAGGACCUCAUAAAGGACGAAGUAGUCCGGAUUGGAGUCUGCAACGCGACCCCAUGAAGACGGAAUCGCUACUAAUCGCAGAUCAGAAUGCUACGGAGAAAACGUUCCCGGGCCUAGUACAAACAGCACGAAACACCACGGGAGUAGGUUGCAAAAGAAGCAGGUAGCUGUAAACUUCGGGAAGGCGCUUACCAAUUUGGAUUCCAGAUGU
Molecule: ribosomal RNA, 1221 nt
Filed under: Serratia marcescens
Lineage: Bacteria; Pseudomonadati; Pseudomonadota; Gammaproteobacteria; Enterobacterales; Yersiniaceae
Description: bacterial SSU rRNA
Rfam family: Bacterial small subunit ribosomal RNA
Source: RNAcentral